GGAAGGGUGGCCGAGCGGCUGAAGGCGCACGCUUGGAAAGCGUGUUUACUCAAAAGGUAACAAGGGUUCGAAUCCCUUUCCUUCCGCCA
This 89-nucleotide transfer RNA is filed under the name Candidatus Fokinia solitaria. Its description in RNAcentral is "tRNA-Ser". It matches the Rfam family "tRNA". From Rfam's summary of the family: Transfer RNA (tRNA) molecules are approximately 80 nucleotides in length. Their secondary structure includes four short double-helical elements and three loops (D, anti-codon, and T loops). The record is from RNAcentral. Lineage: Bacteria; Pseudomonadati; Pseudomonadota; Alphaproteobacteria; Rickettsiales; Candidatus Midichloriaceae.